ACUUUUUACAAAUUGAAUAAGAUAUAAAUACCUUCAAACUUCUCGGUUAAUUUGUAACAUUGCGUGGCAGUCUACAGAAAGCUUUAGUGCCUUUAUUUGAGCAGAUAUGAUUUUUCAUUUGAGUAUCCUGUUAUUAACGUUUUCAAGUGUCGGUGCACGAUGGCCGCUGUGUCCUCCACGAUUGAUGCAGAAUUGUCCUGGGAAUCUAGUGUGUGUCAAUGGAAUGUGCAAGCCCUGGUGUAAGUA
This is a long non-coding RNA of Saccostrea cuccullata (small rock oyster), 246 nucleotides long. RefSeq lists it as uncharacterized. Lineage: Eukaryota; Metazoa; Mollusca; Bivalvia; Ostreida; Ostreidae. The transcript is spliced from 3 exons. The record is from RefSeq and is a predicted model, not a curated record.